AGGAAGUGAAUUCUCGAAACUCGAGGAUUAGACUUCGACCAGAAUCGACUAGUUGUCGAGUGCGUAGGCUUCGGAAAGUCCGAAGGUGUUAUAAUGCAUAAAGUGCAUUAAGGAAGGGUCCGCGAGAGUACCAAGUGCAAAACUUGCACUGGAGCAGAAAUGCUCUCGGGGACCGGUCCCUGGCAGGGAGGGACCGGUUCCAUCAGGCUGGGUUGCGGAGGUCUCUGAUGAGACCGGUCCUUGGUGGGCAGGGACCGGUUCCCGAACGUUGGCCUGGCGAGACUUAGCCAAAUUUGGCUAAGUCCCGAGAGUGCAGCUCUCGGGAACCGGUCUCUCGGACAAGGACCGGUCUCCCGGGGACCGGUCUCUCAGGCAAGGACCGGUUCCCGAACGCGAAAAUCCCUCUGCUCGAAAUGGCAGCCUUCGGGGACCGGUCUUCCCGAACUGGGACCGGUCCCUCGCUGCGAAAAUGCCCAGAGAGGGCUGAAUCAGAAGAUGAAAAGUUGAGGGGGCUAGCUGCAAAAUGACCUUUAAUAGGGCUUGGGGACCCCUCUCUCACCCUCAGUUGCUCUCUCUCUCUCUCUCUCACUCUUUCCCUUUCUCUCUCUAGGAAAGAAAAGAAAAGAAAGAGAAGAAGGAGAAGAAGAAGAAGAGAAAGGAGAAGAAGGGAGGAAAGAAGAAGAAAGAGAAGGAGAAGACUAAGAAGAAGAAAAAGACAUCUUCUUCUCUCCCUCUCCUUCAAGCUUGAAGAAGUCUUGAAGAGAGGUAAGCUCUAAACCCUUUAAUGGUGUUUCUAGGGUUUUGGAUUUUUAGGGUUUAGAAUUGGUUCAAAUGGAACCUAUUAGGGAUAAAUAGAAGGUUCGAGCUCACAAUCGAAGCUCGCACCGCGGAUUUCCUUCCCGUUGCCAUUCUAGGGCACGGAUUGGGGUUUUGGGAAAUUUAGGGUUUUGAUCUAUUUUAAUAGGUCGUAAACCUAAUUGCUAGGUCUCGGAACGCGUCGGCGAAGACGGUUUGCCGAUCCGACGAGCGGGUGCGGAGUUAUCGCCGAAUCGGGUACUCGAGGGCUCGCUUUGCCCCGAGGAGUUCAAGCGGCGUGCAAGAAUCGCAACGUCGAGCUUUCUACUAUCGCGGCAUCGCCAAGAGGUGGGUGGUGUCCAUCCCGAAGCAAUCGGGCUCCCUCCUAUGUCUUAGAAUAUUUCGAUCCUGCAUCUUGUAUUAUUGCAUUAUAGGAUUAGUAUGUAUUGCCUUCCUUAUGCCUCCCUUGAUAAUACCGUAGCAUGUAUUGGAUGUAGAGGAUUGGUGAGGAUUGGGUCGAGUUUUGUGAAUCCUAUAAUGUAGAGAAAAUGAUGAAUAAUGAACGAGUGGCAUCUAGUUGAUAAUAAACAAAUGAACGAGUGGCAUUUAGUUGAUAGUAAGCAAAAGAACAAAUGACACAUGUGAGUCAUAGUGUAUAUGAAACCUAUGGACUAUAUGAUGAUUGUAACACUAGAGGACAGGGUAUCCUCGAGCUUAGAGGAUUUGAUCAUGCUCACGGUCUGUUAAAUCUUGUGAUGGAAGCCCCACACAAGUAGUGCGCUCCGGAUGUUGGUCACGCCAGGGAUUGCCUAUAUGGCCCCGCCAGACGGUCUCGGGUCCGUAGUGUGAGUUGAUUCUCCCUACGUGUCGAGAUGGCUAGUGAGCUGUAGGCGAGCCUUCGGGUAAGCCAUGAGAUUAAUGGACAAGUAAAUGAGGUUACUGAACGAGUGAAUAGCUUUGCCUUUGGACAUGAUAAUGGGUUAGUUGUUUAUCCAUUUCCUUGUACAUGCAUUCAUAUAUUAUGAUUCGGCAUAGUAGCGUAGCUUCAUUUCCAUCAUUUACAGCUUUCCCUUUUUAUCUAUCUAUCUAUUGGUAUAUCUACUGGUGCCCGCUUGGACCUAGUGGGGAGAUCGGCGGAGUCGGCGGCCGAACCCACUGGGAACUAAGGAAGUUAGUUCUCAACCCCAUUUUCACCACAGGUUCCAGUUCGGGUAUCCCCGGUGAGCGCGAGGAUCGCGGUAAGGGCCCGGCGUUCUAGUCGCAUUAGCUACCUCCCGUUGGUAUUAGCCAUCACCCUUUUUGUAUUUGAGAGUAGAUGUUGUGUAGGGUGAGGUGGAGUGAUUGUAUUUAUAUUUUGGAAGAAUGUAAAGGAUGUAAUUAAACAUGUAUAUAUUAUGUCGAAUGAAUGGAAUAGAUAGACCUUCUCUCUUAUGUACUUGUAUAUGUUUCUAUACU
Molecule: long non-coding RNA, 2250 nt
Filed under: Ananas comosus (pineapple)
Lineage: Eukaryota; Viridiplantae; Streptophyta; Magnoliopsida; Poales; Bromeliaceae
Description: long non-coding RNA (ACOM_LNC044672)
Source: RNAcentral